Molecule: ribosomal RNA, 492 nt
Filed under: uncultured bacterium
Lineage: Bacteria
Description: partial 16S ribosomal RNA
Rfam family: Bacterial small subunit ribosomal RNA
Source: RNAcentral
AUUGAACGCUGGCGGCAUGCCUAACACAUGCAAGUCGAACGGCAGCGCGGUCUUCGGUCUGUCGGAGAGGGGCGAACGGGUGAGUAAGGCAUGGGAACGUGCCCAGUUGCGGUGGAUAGCCCGGUGACAGCGGGAUUCAUACCGCAAUACACCAUACGGCGUACGGGUGGGACCAAAAGACCUUGCGACCUUGGACGGGUGAAUGAGCCGAUGUCGGAUUAGCUAGUUGGUGGGGUAAAGGCGCACCAAGGCGACGAUCCGUAGCUGGUCUGAGAGGACGACCAGCCACACUGGGACUGAGACACGGCCCAGACUCCUACGGGAGGCAGCAGUGGGGAAUUUUGGACAAUGGGCGCAAGCCUGAUCCAGCCAUGCCGCGUGCGGGAAGAAGGCCUUCGGGUUGUAAACCGCUUUUGUUCGGGAAGAAAACCUCUGGGCUAAUACCCCGGGGGGAUGACGGUACCGGAAGAAUAAGCACCGGCUAACUACGUG